UGCUCGAGACCGGCCACGACAUUCUGUUCUUCUGGGUGGCUCGGAUGGUGAUGCUGGGGCUGGCCCUGACGGGGAAGCUGCCCUUCCGUGAGGUUUACCUCCACGCCAUCGUCCGCGACGCCCACGGGCGCAAAAUGAGCAAAUCCCUGGGGAACGUCAUCGACCCCCUGGACGUGAUCACGGGGGUGACGCUGCAGGAGCUGCACCUGCAGCUCGAGAGCAGCAACCUGGACCCGGCGGAGCUGGAGCGGGCCCGGGAGGGACAGG
Sturnus vulgaris (Common starling) is the source of this 267-nucleotide non-coding RNA. The record is from RefSeq and is a predicted model, not a curated record. NCBI's taxonomy places the organism in Eukaryota, Metazoa, Chordata, Aves, Passeriformes, Sturnidae.